Long non-coding RNA from Humulus lupulus (European hop), 275 nucleotides. RefSeq lists it as uncharacterized. NCBI's taxonomy places the organism in Eukaryota, Viridiplantae, Streptophyta, Magnoliopsida, Rosales, Cannabaceae. The transcript has 2 exons. The record is from RefSeq and is a predicted model, not a curated record.
UUAUGAUAUAGGCUCGUUGAAAAGAUUGUGAAAUUCUUAGCUUGGACCUGAGCAAAUAGGAUUUCUCUAUGGCACGCGUGGUGACGUGAGGAGUUCUUCAUCAUGGGGUGUAUGGCGUGGGGCAAUCCUAUGGACGAUAAAACGAUCAACGUAGAACGCCAUUUAAAUUAUGUUUUGUUUUAAGGGACUUUUUCCUAAAUUAUCAGUGGGACUCUGUUAUUUAACUUAAUUGGUUUUCUUUGAACUUUGCAUAAAAACCUAUGUUUUAUUUUAAA